This 464-nucleotide ribosomal RNA is filed under the name uncultured bacterium. RNAcentral describes it as "bacterial SSU rRNA". It matches the Rfam family "Bacterial small subunit ribosomal RNA", at positions 330 to 792 of the family's 1533-position model. The record is from RNAcentral.
UCCAGACUCCUACGGGAGGCAGCAGUGAGGAAUAUUGGUCAAUGGUCGGGAGACUGAACCAGCCAAGCCGCGUGAGGGAGGAAGGUACAGAGUAUCGUAAACCUCUUUUGUCAGGGAACAAAGACUGGGACGCGUCCCCGGAUGAGUGUACCUGAAGAAAAAGCAUCGGCUAACUCCGUGCCAGCAGCCGCGGUAAUACGGAGGAUGCGAGCGUUAUCCGGAUUUAUUGGGUUUAAAGGGUGCGCAGGCGGUCUGUUAAGUCAGCGGUCAAAGCCCGGGGCUCAACCCCGGCCGGCCGUUGAAACUGGUUUUCUAGAGUUGGAGAGAAGUAUGCGGAAUUCGUGGUGUAGCGGUGAAAUGCAUAGAUAUCACGAAGAACUCCGAUUGCGAAGGCAGCAUACCGGCUCCAUACUGACGCUGAGGCACGAAAGCGUGGGGAUCGAACAGGAUUAGAUACCCCUGUA